This is a non-coding RNA of Podarcis lilfordi (Lilford's wall lizard), 72 nucleotides long. Lineage: Eukaryota; Metazoa; Chordata; Lepidosauria; Squamata; Lacertidae. The record is from the annotation of a GenBank genome assembly.
AGAGUUGUAGCUCAGUGGUAGAGCAUCUGCUUGGCAGGCAGAAGGUCUCUGGUUCAAUCCCUGGCAUCUCCA